GACGAACGCUGGCGGCGUGCCUAAUACAUGCAAGUAGAACGCACAGUUUAUACCGUAGCUUGCUACACCAUAGACUGUGAGUUGCGAACGGGUGAGUAACGCGUAGGUAACCUGCCUGGUAGCGGGGGAUAACUAUUGGAAACGAUAGCUAAUACCGCAUAAUAUUAAUUAUUGCAUGAUAAUUGAUUGAAAGGUGCAAAUGCAUCACUACCAGAUGGACCUGCGUUGUAUUAGCCAGUAGGUGAGGUAACGGCUCACCUAGGCGACGAUACAUAGCCGACCUGAGAGGGUGAUCGGCCACACUGGGACUGAGACACGGCCCAGACUCCUACGGGAGGCAGCAGUAGGGAAUCUUCGGCAAUGGACGAAAGUCUGACCGAGCAACGCCGCGUGAGUGAAGAAGGUUUUCGGAUCGUAAAGCUCUGUUGUAAGAGAAGAACGGGUGUGAGAGUGGAAAGUUCACACUGUGACGGUAUCUUACCAGAAAGGGACGGCUAACUACGUGCCAGCAGCCGCGGUAAUACGUAGGUCCCGAGCGUUGUCCGGAUUUAUUGGGCGUAAAGCGAGCGCAGGCGGUUAGAUAAGUCUGAAGUUAAAGGCUGUGGCUUAACCAUAGUACGCUUUGGAAACUGUUUAACUUGAGUGCAGAAGGGGAGAGUGGAAUUCCAUGUGUAGCGGUGAAAUGCGUAGAUAUAUGGAGGAACACCGGUGGCGAAACGGCUCUCUGGUCUGUAACUGACGCUGAGGCUCGAAGCGUGUGGAUCCAACAGGAUUAUAUACCCUGGUAUUCAUUUGGCCAAUUUC
This 804-nucleotide ribosomal RNA is filed under the name uncultured Streptococcus sp. RNAcentral describes it as "bacterial SSU rRNA". It matches the Rfam family "Bacterial small subunit ribosomal RNA", at positions 28 to 809 of the family's 1533-position model. Lineage: Bacteria; Bacillati; Bacillota; Bacilli; Lactobacillales; Streptococcaceae. The record is from RNAcentral.